Long non-coding RNA from Carassius gibelio (silver crucian carp), 1131 nucleotides. RefSeq lists it as uncharacterized. The transcript has 3 exons. NCBI's taxonomy places the organism in Eukaryota, Metazoa, Chordata, Actinopteri, Cypriniformes, Cyprinidae. The record is from RefSeq and is a predicted model, not a curated record.
GCACUUGAAUUGUUCCAGCUGUUUAUUUAUUCACAAUAAAAUUAUAUAUGAUUUAGUAUCAAAUUAGCUGGACUACGACAGCCGAUUUUGACUUCCUUUGUUUUUACUUUUUGAAUUGUACUCCAACUGCAGAUUAACCCUUCAUCCAGCGUUGCCAGGUUUUCACAGGAAAACUGCCCAAUCUGAUUAUUGGCGUGGUUCCCUCUGCCAAAAUUCACAUUUUAGGGGAUAAAUAUCAUGUUUUUGGAGUCGCUUAAACAAGCGGACAUGAAAAACAACCCCGUGGCAACAGUUUUAAAGUAGAGGACUUGGCAACACUGCCUUCAUCUUACUGCAAGAGUCUAAGAGGAUCAGUCUUUCUACUGCUACCGAGAUCUUUCUGAUUGUAUUUCUGUGAUUGUCGGGAACAUGGUGAGAACCCUGUAUGAUUUGUCUGAUCUGAAAGAGACCAGGUUUGGUCAGCCGAGUCCCAGACACGGUCUGAGCUUGUUGUGGUGGUUUGCUCAUAAUUGUGUUCAGAUUGACUCGAACGACCGUAUGACUGCACUGUACAACCCUGAAUAUGGAGAUUUUGGUUUUGAUCUAUUCUAUAAUCGGGAAAGACUUCUUCCUUACAGUAAUCGUCCUUACUAUGAGGUGGGCAACCUAAACUCCCCUGGAUCACUGCCUCGUUAUGUCACUGAGAAGUACACUGGAUAUUCAGACGACAGCAACAAAGAUCGCAUCAUUGUUUCCUUUAACUCACAUUGGAACAGUUUUGAGAAGAUUUAUGUGACACAGCACUCAGAUCAGGUGAACUUUGACCAGAACCACACCUACCUCAUUAGCCCUAAACUUCUGAAGGAAAUUAAAACAUUGAACCUUGAACACUUCUGCAGAAAAAUGAUAAGUAAUCAGAUAUAUCCUUUGAUGUAUGUCCCACAAAGUUCCAACAUACACUCAUACUCUACAUCUUCACUUCAGUCACUGCAGGGUCAAAGGUCACACCAAUCUAACUGGGAUGUCUGUGAUUGCAGCUCUGAGCUGAUUUGCGCACUGAUUUUUUGUGUACUGAUGCUCUUGUUUGCGCUUUUCCUCUUUCUUUUAAAAAUGGCAAAUAAAUUUUAGUGAACUCCUGUGUAUUUUUCCAGC